CUAAACAUCCUGGGCAUUUCCAGCAAAUCUCAGCAGAUGAUGAGAAGGAUUGGGAUAAUUAUUGCAGCUGAGACCUACAGUGCUCAUGAUUAGAAUAAUCAGUUUAUUCACCACUCAACAGCCAGACUCUUUAUAAAACGCCUACCACUAGGAUCCUCACCGUGAUUUGGCUUCCCACAGUGACAAAGGACAGGCUGGGUCAGGCUGACCCAAAUGCCUGCUACACCUGGCACUUAGCGUCUCAUUAUAAAUCCAUCAUUUGGCAUUCUGCUUUAUCCCCUCCAGUCUCCUCUGAGUGAGUCAGCUUGCAGAGAGAGUCCCAGUAACUCUGGGUCCCUGAUGGGAUCAAGUUUCUGAACCUUUAAGACCAGACCCUGGACAGCAGCUACUUCUGUAAUAUGUUGCUGCCUGUGAAGGUUCUCAGCAGCUGGCCAGCUGGUCCUUCCCAAGCACCACCCAGCUUUACUGUAAGAUUUGCUGAGCGUUUUCCCCAGACCCAGCAAUUCCACUUAGAGGAGUUUAUAUUAAGGAGAUAAUUGGAUAAAUAUGUAAAGAUGUAUGUAGAAAAGUACUCAUUAUUGCAUUGUCAUCUCCCCUCUUCCUCAGCUGGAUGUGGUGGUGGUGGUACUUUCGUAUCCAAUGCUGUCGCCCGAGUGUGGGUAGCCGCUAGAGCCCCCCAGGCCCCACCUCAUAUAGCACCAUGGGAAUUAAUUGAUGGUGCUGUCUCUUAUGAUAAUUAUGAAGGAGUGCUAGCAACAGAGUAGCAGUUGGUUAAGUAAUCUGUACCCUGG
Molecule: long non-coding RNA, 791 nt
Organism: Myotis brandtii (Brandt's bat)
Lineage: Eukaryota; Metazoa; Chordata; Mammalia; Chiroptera; Vespertilionidae
Exons: 3
Source: RefSeq, a predicted model, not a curated record